RNAcentral lists this transfer RNA (68 nucleotides) under Afronurus rubromaculatus. Its description in RNAcentral is "tRNA-Trp". RNAcentral also lists the same sequence under 1 other name. Lineage: Eukaryota; Metazoa; Arthropoda; Insecta; Ephemeroptera; Heptageniidae. The record is from RNAcentral.
AAGGUUUUAUGUUAAAUAAACAAAUAGCCUUCAAAGCUAUCAAUAGAAGUUUACUCUUCUAAGCCUUA